AAAGGAGGGCACUACUACUCAUGCCAGGGGGAACUUGGUCAAUGGCACAAGGGAGAUGGGUGGCACCUGAUGAAGGCUUGGAAUAAGCAACUAUUUGCCAGACUGUAUCCCAGCCACUAUUUUUCCCUCAACGUCACUAAAUGCAAGGGAAUAAUGAAACCACAGGGUGCAAUCAAGCCUCCUCCACAGCCUCCUGAAGAAAUCACUCCUAAGACCUAAAUGGAAAAGCAGAUGUAAAAUGUAAAUCAACUCCCACACUCUGGCCUUCAUCUCUUCCCCGAAAAAAGAAUGGGAAAGGUUCAAGUGCUGGUUAUGGAAAACAGCAUCCAUUUAUGGAAGACAUCUCUAUUUAAAGCGGAGUGGCCCUAAUGGUUACUCAAUGCUUGAGUAACCAACAAGCUCUAGAGGGUUUGAAGGAAGGUGAUUCAGUCCUGGGAGUGGGAGCUGCACUUAAUAAAGCUACUAGUUAGGCAGAGUUUUUUAACUCAUUCCUUCACU
This 498-nucleotide long non-coding RNA is filed under the name Pan troglodytes (chimpanzee). RNAcentral describes it as "long non-coding RNA NONPTRT006865". Lineage: Eukaryota; Metazoa; Chordata; Mammalia; Primates; Hominidae. The record is from RNAcentral.